UACGUAGGUGGCAAGCGUUGUCCGGAAUUACUGGGCGUAAAGGGCGCGUAGGCGGACAGUUAAGUCAGAGGUGAAAGCCCAGGGCUCAACCCUGGAAUAGCCUUUGAUACUGGCUGUCUUGAGUGCGGGAGAGGUGUGUGGAACUCCGAGUGUAGAGGUGAAAUUCGUAGAUAUUCGGAAGAACACCAGUGGCGAAGGCGACACACUGGCCCGUAACUGACGCUGAGGCGCGAAAGCGUGGGGAGCAAACAGG
RNAcentral lists this ribosomal RNA (253 nucleotides) under uncultured bacterium. RNAcentral describes it as "partial 16S ribosomal RNA". It matches the Rfam family "Bacterial small subunit ribosomal RNA", at positions 524 to 776 of the family's 1533-position model. The record is from RNAcentral.